This 281-nucleotide long non-coding RNA is filed under the name Brassica napus (rape). RNAcentral's name for it is "long non-coding RNA (BNAP_LNC006512)". Lineage: Eukaryota; Viridiplantae; Streptophyta; Magnoliopsida; Brassicales; Brassicaceae. The record is from RNAcentral.
UCGAAUUGAAUACCGCCACGUCAAUCAGUUUCAUGUUUGACUUUUGACAAUUUACUCAAAAGCCGCUGGAUCCCACUAACCAUAUAUAGGCCUCUGGCUGUAAAUAUCUGUCUACGUUGGCUUUUUCUCUCUUGCCAUAUGAGAUGAUUUUUUGGUCUCUUUUUGGACAUCAAUACACAGAAUUUCACAUGAUAUGUUCAUAAUACAUCAAUCUCACCCAUCAAACAGAAACAAAGAGUUUGGAAUGUAAAGUGGGCCUCAACUUUAACACUUCAAGCCCA